GCAACCCAGUCAGAUGGUUGGUGCACCUGGCUGUUAACCAGAAGGUUGGUGGUUCAAGCCCACCCAGGGGCU
Non-coding RNA from Podarcis lilfordi (Lilford's wall lizard), 72 nucleotides. The record is from the annotation of a GenBank genome assembly. Lineage: Eukaryota; Metazoa; Chordata; Lepidosauria; Squamata; Lacertidae.